UGAAUCUGCUCACUUUAAAAGAAUUAACAGUCCAUAUUCCUUUCUACAUUAACUUGCCAAGAUUCCCAGUAUGGGUACUGUUUGGAAAUUUAAUCUUUGAUUUGAUCCUCAAUUACAUGGGGCUUCAUUCCUACCAACUUCCUGUAAUUCUAUACCUUUGGGUAAAACUAUGAGUGGUCAGACUCUGCUGGAGAAAGUACAGGCGCUGAGACUCCCUCACCGAGUUAAAUAUUCAUUUAGUAGAGCUGGUGUGAAAAAGUACUGUUUCAGCUUGAAGUGUUAGGAGGCCGAUGUUCUUGUGUUACUCAUCCGUGCAGACUGGAGAAGGUAUAAUUGAAACAAGGCUGGCUGUGUUCCAGUCAGAGUGCCGCUGAGCGCAGCGUAAAGGUCGCUGCAAAUCAAGCGCUGUGAGGGUGAAGACGCUUGGGCUGAGAGCGAUUCCGAGCGGUCGCCGGGUCGACGUUCUCUCUGUAAUAUCUGGUGUCGAAUGUUUUAAGCAGGGUAAAGAACACAACUCGACAGCUCUGUCGGCACCACAAAUGACUGCUGCUUUCGCUGCAGCACAGCUGCUUCGAGCCCGUCUGUGGACAGAGAUCUUGGUUUUGACUCUCGGCCCUUAAUAUGGUUGGAAAUGAGAACAAAUGGCACAAAGCUUGCGAUUGCACUUUGCAGCCCAAAGAAGCAGUACUUACCCUUUGUCAGAAGGCCCCGGAGAGGGUGUAGAUAGCCGGGUCCGCACGUGCUCCCAGAGACCAGCAUGGAUUUCCUCAGCUAACGUUCAGAUGAAGCUGACUCCCAGACAGACUGCGGCUCCGCUGACGAAGAGUGUGACAGCUCGGGAAGGCUCCUCUGUCCCUUCACCUGAAAAUAUCCGUAAGAAGAGCAGCUCCCUGCGGAUUUCGCUGAAGCCCCCAAGGUGCAGUGGGAGUCUCCAGCCUCCUAGUGUCUCAAAGGAAUGCGCCCGCAGCGGUGCUGGGAGCCAUGGCAACCUCGGAAGCAGUCCUAGUGUCUGCAGUGGAAGCCUGGGGAACUUCGCAGCCAGUGAGCUGGGGUCCUACAGCAGCAUCAGUAGUGAUCACGGGUCGUCUGCAAGCAGUGCCAGUGGAGGCUCCUACACCAGCAGUGCCGGCAGCGACUGCUGCGGCUACUCUUUCCCACCAAGCGAUGGCACUUUUUUCAGUGGAAACUUAUCUGCUGACAGUACCUCCAACAGAAUUGGGCCAAACAGGAGUGCCGCUCCCUGUGAGAGUUUUUCAAGAAGUCCCAGCACAGCUCCCCUUGUCCAGAAUGACUCGGAGCAUGGGAUCGAGACUGUGAAAUUGCCAGUGAGCAGGAAUGCAAAAACUCCACUGAAGCGUUGCUCUUCCUUAGUCAUUUUUCCUCGGAGCCCCUCCAACACCCCACCAGCCUCUCCAGCAGGUACAGGUGUUCUCCCCAGCCGGGGGUCCCACCAGACCUCACACCAGUUCACCAUUUCUCCUAGUGAAGCUGCACAUCAUGAAGAUGGUUCCGGAGCCAAAGGGUUUCUUUCAACUGCUGUCAGUGGACUACGAUUAUGUAAAGCAGUCUGUACUCGUGGAGAAGUCAGAGAUACACGGCCACUUCACAUGGGCUCAUCCCAGAAGAAAGUUGUGAUUUCAAAUAACAGCCCCAAACAGACUGUUCAGGAAAAGUCUUCUGAAGGAUGUUCAUGUGUUUCAGUGUAUUUCACCCAGCGAAAAACAGCUGCCUCCGACUGUGAGAUAACAAAUGGUGACUGUAAACUGGAGAUGUCAGAAAUUAAGCUUCAUUCUGAUCCACGGUAUUCUAAGCCCUGGCACAGAACAUCUGAGUGUUUACCACCCACCCAAAACACAGACUACCAAACAAAAUGCAGUGGAGAGUUGGAAAGACCAAAUUCACAGAUAAACAAAAACCACACUGUCUUACAAAGAAGUAUUUCAUUGGGAGGAACUUAUCCAAAUAUUUCCUGUUUAUCCAGCCUUGAGCACAGUUCUAAGGGGGGACCCUCGCAGUUACUCAUAAAGCUUUCACCUGGAAAUGAAGGUGAAGUUGACAGUCUAUCAAGAGACAGCAUCAGCAACUUCACAAAUGGACUAUCUAAUUCUUGCAAGCUGUGUCUUCUUCCGUUAUUCAUCCAGCCACAUUUGAACUCCAGACACUAAGAAUAAAAGAUGAAUGAAAUGCUGUCUCUGCUGGGGGUGCUCCCAUGGUAGUAAAAGGGUGCACAGGUGAGCAGAACUGUUUCUGUCUAGUGAGUACACACGUGCUGAGACAGGUGUGUCUUAGAAAAGCGUGGCAGGACUUCAGGAGGAAGGAGCCGUGAGGGGCAUUGAGAGCAUCUGAGGAGUCGAGAAGUUGGUUGGCGCUUAUCAAGCAGCGCCUUGAUGGUGGGGCUGUUACCUGUAGCACACUUAUGUGUGGGCCACAUAAUUCCCAUGGAGGGUUUCAGCAGCUGCCCUGGCCCUCACCAGUAAAUGCCAGCCACUCCCGCAAUGUCUGCAGACAUUGUCAAACGUCCCAGGGCAGCACCCCCACUACCCCAACGUCACAAAGGCAAAGCCCACACAAGCGACCUCACACUGGUGGGUUGGAACCUCUGCUGCUAAAGAGAAAGUUGUGUGUCCCUGAUGACAGGCAGUUAGGUGAUAUAUCACACUGUAUUUGAAGUGCAGAGGACUUCUUGUUACGUUUGCAGACGAUAAAUUUUUGUAACAUGAUAGAUUAUAAAUGGAUCAAAGUUUUCUUAGCUCGGAUGACUGGGUGAAUGGUGAUGUCAUGAACCAAGAUAGGAAAGUGGGAAGGAGCCAGAUGUGGGAUGGGUGCAAAAAACUGGUGUGUGGCUGAGUCUGUGCUGCUGUCAGGGGCAGCUGUGGGUACAGAGCAGGGUGGGGAGCCCUGGAAACCCAGGGUGGGAGCCGGGAGUUAAAGCUCAGGGAGGAAGAACUCAGCCAGGGAGAACAGGAACUGAGAUGUGAGGGGAGUAAAAGCCAAAUUCUGAGCCCCAGGGGUUUCAGUGAGAUGGUGAAAGAAGAGACAGGCAAUAGAGAGCCAUCAGACAGGCCAGGAGGUCACGGAGGCCUGGAGUCAGGGGCGGGACAGAGGACUGAAGCACCCAUGAGGUGUAGCACAUGGGAGGUGUUCAGUGAACUUCCCAGCGGGGGCUUUUCAGGUGUCCCCAACACCAGGGAUGACAGCCAGGCUGAAGGAACAGUGGGCGAGGAAGCAGGAACGGCAAGCACAGGUGACCUGCUGGAUGUCACAGGACACAGAGCACCAGCAAGGCACGUAGGGAACACUAUGACUCGUGGGAUAAACUCCCUGGCUGCAAAGAGUACAGUCUCUUCCAGGAUGGAGAAAAAGGUUGUCAUUCUGCUCUCUCCGCUGAAAACCACAGAAUGAGUAAACGGGCAGUGAGCACUGAAAUGGGGGCCCAGCCACACAAAUGAAGGGAACAGAAAAUAGGAAAUGGAAACUGGAGCCUCCAUGAAUAUUCACAGCUCAUUUUGGACAUCGUUAUUCUGACUUUCUCAGUUCCCUCCCUACCACCAAAAAAUAGGACAAAACAAAACCCACCUUCCUCAUAGAAACCAAGUCAGGGUGUCGAGGCCCCUGCAGGAAACUCUUGUCCAAAGGAUUCCCUCUCUGGACCCACUCUUCCUGAGCCUUAGGACAGGGACAGGGAGCACUAAGGGGCCAGGGCCAGAGGCAAAGGGACAGGCAGGUCCAGGUCAGCAAGGAGAUCAGCAGGAGAAAUGGUGCUGAGAGAGUAGCUCACAUAUCCUCAGCACGUCCAGGAAAUAGUUCGGUGUUGCUCUGGGCUCUGGUUCAGCUUCUUGGUUUGCCUUGAUGUGAGAUGGAAGGCAAUAGCCAGAGAACCGUAGACGCUUAGAGAUUCUAGAAGACACAGUCAAACAACCUGUCCCCUCAGGGAGACGGUAUGGGGAGGCUGUCAACGUGGAAGGUUUUGAAAAGCAAUUUAUAUUCACCAAGAUUUAACCAAACUGCUGAGAAGUGACCAGGACUCAGACUGGAGUGUGGUCCUGUGGUCUUAAGAGCCACGCCCAGCACAGAGCACCCCGAAAUAGCAGGUCCCCAGCAUCUGUGGGCCUCUAGGUUCUGGGGGAAGAAAAAAUCUUAGGCCUUCCCUUAGGGAACCAUGACACCAUGCAAGGUUUGGUCUGCCUCGAUGUAAAAUAUAUUACCAGGCCGGGGAUUUAGCUCAGUGGUACUGCUGCCUGCCUUGCAAGAACAAGGACCCAAGUUUGAUCCCUGGUACAGAGGGUGGGUGGGUGGGGUCAUGGUAAAUUGUAUUACCAAGCAAGAGGAAAUCAUCAGCAUGGGUACUGAUGAUUUUAAAUUCAGUGGUUCAUUAGUGCAGAAACACUCUCUUUUUUUUCCAUAAAGUUUAUUGGGACAUUUCAGGUACAUUCAUCAUUGGGAUCUUGCAUCUUUACAUGACAUAUCUUGGUUCUUAUUUUUUUCACAUUCCCCUGCCCUCCCUUCACCCCCUCUACCCUUCCCUAUUUACAAAGACUUCGUUUCCAUUUUUUACCUUUUCUCAUAUUUUUUCUUUCCCCUUCUUUCCUUUCCCGUACCCCUCCCAUUUCGCCUGCUCCUUUAGACCUUUUCUUCCUAUUACACAAUAUCAGUUAUACAAUUUGAACCUUAUUUACUCGUAAUUUUUCACACUAGAGCAACUAUCCAGUAUUUAUGCAUGUGUGUCCUGUUUAUUUCACUUAAGAGUAUGGCCUCAGUGUGCAUCCAUAUGCCUAGAAAUGACUCUAUUCACCCUGGAAGUGUGGCCAUUUUCACUAUGUUUGUUCUUCCUACCUAGGAGGAAAGGAUGUUUUUUCAUUCUCUUAUAUCCUCUUCAAACCCUUUUCAGAGUGCUGUAAUUUUCAUUGUCGAGAUCUUUUGCUUCCUUUAUUAGAUCGAUUCCUAGAUACUUCAUUUCUUUUAAUGCGACUGUGAAAGGAAUUGUUUCCCUAAUUUCUCCUUUUGUGAGUCUGUUAUUUGUGUGUAAGAAGGCUAUUGAUUUUUGAGUGUUGACCUUGUAUCCAGCUAUGCUGCUGAAAGCGUCAAUUAACUCUGGAAGUCUUUUGGCAGAGUUUUUUGGGUCUUCUAUGUAGAAUAUCAUAUUGUUGGCAAAUAAUGACAGUUUAACUUCUUCCUUUCCUAUCUUUAUUGCUUUAAUUUCUUUGUCUUGUCUAAUUG
Molecule: long non-coding RNA, 5217 nt
Filed under: Fukomys damarensis (Damara mole-rat)
Lineage: Eukaryota; Metazoa; Chordata; Mammalia; Rodentia; Bathyergidae
Description: lncRNA (ENSFDAG00000027320.1)
Source: RNAcentral